GGAUGAAAAGGAGCCAUUGUUGAGCACCCUUUGGGUUCGGCCAGUCAACCAGUUACAAAUCCAUGUAACAGCUACCUUGUCUAGUCCACAUUUUACAAGCUUGUUUGCAAGAAUGUCAUGGGAAAUCUUGUCAGGAAGACUUAGUUUGAAAUCUUCCUGUCUACUGCAUUAGACUUUUAUAUGAUUUCAGGUCUGUAGCAUCCACAAUGUCCCCAAUAUAGACUCAGCAUUAAUACACUGUGACCUUGGGGCCACUUGGCUAAAAUUUCAGGAGCUAGGUUUCUGUUCUGUUAAAACUUAACUAAUACAAAUAAAUGUCAACUCAAAAAUACAAUUUGCAUUUCUUUGCUGGAGUGAGUCCUUUAAAAGAAAUAGCUUCUCGAUAUCUGACUGAAUGUUUGACUGAAUUGUGUACACCUUAGCAUUUCUUUUGUCAUACGGUCAACUGGACUUGGCAUUUUGUGGCUUCCCACACAUAGCUUUUAGUGCACCAAGCUUGAUCCUACUGGAAAAAAUGGGAAAAAAUAGCUUGCUCUUUUUCAUUUUACUGAGUGCUAUAAUUAAGAGAACUUUUGGGUGCUACUGUGAUCAUUAUUCCUGGAGUUCCUGGUCCAGCUGUUCAAAGACUUGCAACUAUGGGAUACAAAGUAGAUCAAGACUGAGAAACUACAAUGAGUAUUAUUUUAAGAAUUCAUGUGCAACAUUGUGUACGUGGAGUGAAUCUCGGGCAUGUAACCAGGAGGCUUGCCCCAUCAAUUGUCAACUCAGUGACUGGGCCAUGUGGUCAGAAUGUGACCCAUGUGUUAAACAACAAUUUCGUGUCAGGUCUUUGCUGCAACCAUCUCAGUUUGGGGGUCAAGCCUGUACUGAGCAAAUGUCAGACCGACGGCCAUGUUUCCCAACAAAACUGUGCAAAAUGGAGGAGGUGAACUGUGGUAAUAAGAUACAGUGUGACAAUGGUCGCUGCAUUGCCAAGAAACUGAGAUGUAACGGAGACAAUGACUGUGGAGACAAUUCAGAUGAAAGGAAUUGCAGGAGUGUGAAGUCUGUGUGUAACAGGAGAUUCAUCAGCCUACCCAGUGUGCAACUUCUGGGCCAUGGAUACCAUGCUCUGGCAGAUGACACCCGAGGAGAAGUCCUUGACAAUUCUUUCAAUGGAGGGCAGUGUAUCCUUGUGAAGAGUGAAAACAAUAGGACUACAUUUCGUGUGCCUGAAAAUCUUGAGUCAGUCAGCUUUCAGGUGAGAAAUCAAGAAGAUGAUGUGAAAGCACAGUACUACACAGAUUUAACAUCCAUGAUACGAUCUCACACUGAACAAAGCUCUUCUGUGGGAAGUGACAGACGUUCUUCUGGAUUACCAGUUUUCUGGGGUUCAAGAUCAAAUUCAGUGUCGACAUCAUCUCAUGCCUUCCAGGAAGCCAUUAAAGCAUCCCAUAAGAUGAGUUCCAACUUCAUUAGGAUUCAUAAGGUGAUUGCGGUUUCAAACUUCACAGUGAAACAGUCAGACUUGCAGAUUUCUGGUGUUUUCCUGAAGGCCCUUAACAGCCUGCCUCUAGAGUACAACUAUGCUCUCUACAGUCGGAUAUUUGAUGACUUUGGCACUCAUUACUACACAUCUGGUUCACUGGGAGGAAUAUAUGACCUUCUUUACCAGUAUAAUGAAGAGGAGACAAAAAAUUCAGGUUUAACACAAGAACAAAUGGAAAGCUGUACGCGAACAGAAACACGAAAGUAUGUUUUCUUCUUUUCGUGGACAGAACAUCAUGUGGACUGUUCCCGCAGUAAAAUGACAGAAAGCUAUGAAGGUUCCAUGUUGAAGUCAUCUGAACGGUCUAUUUCCCUGGUAAAGGGUGGACGAGCACAGUAUGCUGCAGCUCUAGCCUGGGAGAAAAAAGGAUCUUUUCCAGGACAAACCAUCUUUAGUGAUUGGCUAGAAUCAACCAAGGAAAAUCCCACUGUUGUUGACUUUGAGGUGGCUCCCAUUCUGGAUUUGGUGAAGAACUUCCCAUGUGCCGUGACAAAGCGCCAUAAUCUCAGGAAAGCCUUUUUUGAAUAUAUGACCAGAUAUGACCCUUGCCAUUGUGCCCCAUGUCCCAACAAUGGUCAGCCUGUUUUAUCUGGAACCGAAUGCCUCUGUGUAUGCAAAGCUGGAACCUAUGGCAGUAACUGUGAGAGAAGAGCUCCAGAUUACACAUCAGAUGCAGUAGAUGGCUACUGGAGUUGCUGGUCUGCAUGGAGUUCAUGCGAUGCAACUUUUAAGAGGCAAAGGACUCGACUGUGUAACAAUCCCCAACCUAUGAAUGGAGGAAAACCCUGUGAAGGAAAAGGGGAAGAGGAAGAAGAGUGUUUUAUUUCAUUGUUUGCAGACCAAGGAGCUGUUUGUGUAAAUGAUAAUGAAGGUGUAAAAGAGGUAGACCUACAUGAAGUUGAUCCUGAAUCUGGAUGUGUGACUCCGACACCCCCAGAAAAUGGAUUCAUCAGGAAUGAGAAAAGAGACUAUUCCAUUGGAGAAGAAGUGGAAGUUGUCUGUCUGAGUGGCUACAAUCUUGUAGGAUAUCCAUUCUUUAGGUGCCUGCCAGACAAAACAUGGAUGCAACACACUGUUGAGUGCCAACCAUCAGUUUGCUCCAGACCAUCCCUUUCCAAUGCCAUCAGAAUCUCCCCAUUUAAAAUAGACUACAAGAGAGGGGAUGGCAUCCAACUGAGUUGUUCAAAUGGAUAUACUCUUACUGGCCCAAAGAGCUACACCUGUGGAAAUGAUCUUUCCUGGAACCCACCUAUUUCAGAAUCACUUACUUGCAAACAGACUGAGCAAUCUCAUCUCCGAGGCAAUUGCAGCCUCGGACAAAAGGAGGUGGAGUACCAAUGUGUCUGUAUGUCGCCUGAGGAAGACUGUGAUCUUGACAUGGAAGAUAUCUGUGUCCUGCAUACUGCAUCCAAAGAAGCCUUUACAAAAUCGAGCUGCCAAUACCUGGCCAACAGGUGCAGGGGUGAUGAGCAGUUCCAUUUCCUCCAUUCUGGAUCUUGCCGCAAUGAUGCCAACUUAAACUGGGCCAUUGAGCGGGCAAUUCUUUCAGUGAACAGCACAAGGAAAGAGCUCUGCAGUUAUGAUGUAUGUUAUGAUUGGGAAACAUGUUCAGGAGUGCCAUCUCAUCUGUAUCCUCGUGGGACCUACCUCUUCUCCUGCAGUGGAUUUCAUUGAUAUUGGGAGACCAUUUCAGACUAGGUUCACACAAAAGGAAAGCUGCCCCUUCCAGCUGCAUAUCACCUGGGCAUGAGAGUUUUACUUUCUCUCCAAUUUCAUACAAUGGUUUCACUGGGUGUCCACUCAGUCCUUCUUCCAACUCAGGAAUGUCCACCACCACUAGGGUAUGGGUUAUUACAGCUUCGGGUUCUUGAUUUCCUUCCUGCUGUACAAGGACUCCAAGAGGACCAGCAGCUCCAGCCACCAUUGAUGACACCUGGAUAAUGUCAGUAACAAUCAUACAAGAGAGAAUUAUACAACAUUAAGAGUUGCUCUGUGGACAUUUUAACUGUAUCCUGGUUUUUUACAUGCUUGUAAGCCAUCUUGGCAUUUUUUCAGUUGGUCCUCGGUAUCCACCAGGGUUUGGUUCUAAGACAGCCCGUGGAUACCAAAAUCCAUGGAUCUUCAAUGGCAUAGCUGCCAUACAAUGGCAAAGCUGGCAAAAUCAAGAUUAGCUUUUGGGAUCCUUUUUUUUCUUCAAGCCGUGGAUGGUUGAAUCUGUGGAUACAAAAUCUGUGGCCAUGGAAAGCCUGUGUUAGGAGAAAAGCAGAAUAUAAACAUAAAUAAAAUAAAAUAGUGCAUAGAGAGGAGUGGGUCCACCAACAGGGAGCUGGUUGAGAGAGCAGAUUCUGAAUGUCAUGAAAGGGCAGCAAAUUGUUACUUAUUUAAUUUAUUAUGCCAGUCUUUUUACUGGCAGGAAGAAAGAAAGAACGUGUGAGAUUUUCUGCCUCACAUGCCAAAAUGGAUUGACUUCCCUAAGAUACAACAUUGAAUGUUUCAAAACAAAAUAUUUUGCUGCUCAGCCUCAGGCGGCAAAAUGUUUGGAUAACCUGAUAUAUAGGUUAUCCCAGUGUAAAGUUCAUAGGGGGUUGUAGAUAAUGUACUCCCUAAGCCACCAUUUCUCACCAGGCUUUCCACCCCCUCAAAACUCUAUUUGACAUUCUAGUAAGCAAACAAAAGAAGUAAUAGUAGGUAUGUAAAUCUUUGUAAAUUUCAUUCUCAUAGGCAAGGAUGAAUAAUUUGACUAUUUGUCUCCUUGCUGUGAGAAAUUCCUUAAAUUUUUUGCCAUUCUUAAAAAAUUGUUUACAGAUUGGGACUUACGCACCACAAAACAUACAUGUGCAGAAAAUGCUUCAUGUGCAUUUUUGUGGGAAAUAAAUCUGUGAGACUUCUUACUCUUCCAA
Sceloporus undulatus (fence lizard) is the source of this 4428-nucleotide RNA transcript. It is a transcript of the gene named complement component C6-like, with no coding region annotated. The transcript has 19 exons. The record is from RefSeq and is a predicted model, not a curated record. NCBI's taxonomy places the organism in Eukaryota, Metazoa, Chordata, Lepidosauria, Squamata, Phrynosomatidae.